RNAcentral lists this long non-coding RNA (336 nucleotides) under Mytilus galloprovincialis (Mediterranean mussel). Lineage: Eukaryota; Metazoa; Mollusca; Bivalvia; Mytilida; Mytilidae. The record is from RNAcentral.
CUUUAUUCUGUUCAGUUAGAAAAUAGUUUGAACAGUUGGUCUUAAAUGUAUCUAAAUUGUCUAUGUCUUUAAUAUUUUUUGGUAAAUUAUUCCAGGUAAUAAGACCAGAAUAUUUAAAUGUUCUUUUUAAAAAAUCAGAAUUAGGUCUUGGUACAUGGAGAAGUCCUGAUGUUGUCGACCUCAGACAAUAAUUAUAAAGAUCAGCACAAGCAGUAAAUUUAAUAGAUAGAUAAUCAGGUGCUAGACCAUUCAUACAUUUAAACAUUAACACAGCUUGAAAAUAGUGUAUCCUCGUAAAUAUAGUCAUCCAUGCAAGUUUUUUAAACAUUACUGUUG